UGAAUGGCCUUUUGAAGACACAGUUUCAGCACCAAUUAGGUGGCAGCAGCCUGGGUGACUGGGGCAGGGUUCUCUAGAAAGCAUUAUAUGCUUUCAAUCAGUGUUCAUUAUAAGGUACAGUUUUUCCCAUAGCCAGGAUCCAUAGGUCCAGGAAUCAAGGGGUGGAAAAGGCAGUAGUUCCAUUCACUGUCACCCCUAGUGACCCACUAAGAAAAAUUUUGCCUCCUUUCCUGUGACCUUAAGUUAUGCUGUCCUAGAAGUUUUGGUCCCAGAUCAGGAAGCAUUCCUGCCAGGAGCCACAGUAGACAUUCUAUUGAACUGGAACCUCAGACUUCCCCCUGGGCUUCUGAUGCCCUUAAGACAACAGGCUAAGAAAGGAAUAGCAGUGUUAGAAGGGGUGGUUGAUCCAGAUCACAAAGGGAAAAUUAGAUUGCUUCUUCACAACUGAGAUAAAAAAGAUUAUGUUUGGAGCACAAGAGGUCCUUUAGGGUUUCUCUUGGUUACUAUUAUGUUCUAUGAUUAAAGUUAAUGGGAAACUACAACAGCAUAAUCAAAGUAGGAUGACAAAGGGCACAGACCCUUCAGGAAUGAAGGUAUAGGUCAUUCUGAGAAAAGAGCCAAGACCUACCGAGGUACUUGCUUGAAGGUGGAGGAAAUACAGACUGGGAAGUAGAGGAAGAUACUUACAAAUACCAGCUAAGGCCAUGUGAUCAGUUGCACAAGGGCUUAUAAUUGGCAUGAGUGUUUGUGUCAUACUUUGUUAAGAAUGUGUUUGUACAUAUAUUUGUUUUCUUUCCUCAAUGUGUUUAUCAUGUAAUGUAACAUCAAUUAAGGGGAUAUCAGUGGUUAUAAUCAUUUGAGUUUGAGAGGCUAAGAGAAUGUCCCUCAAUGGACCCUGCCACCUAUUCUCAAACGUAUAUUUGCAGUUGCAUGAGGAAUAGUUAUAUCAUGUUAAGUGUAGUCAUGAACUGGCUAGAUAUAUAAGGCAGUUGUGAUUGUACAUGGGGUAGUUAUAUCAGGUAAGGUAUGAGUAUGACCUGGUUAUUGUUCUCAUUGGGAUUUAAGGAUGGCAUAAGGAGAUAUAGUUGUGUGUCAGGUUGAGAAGGAGGGGACUUGUGAUGACUAUUCUUGGUUGUCAACUUGACUUCACCUGAAAUUAACUAAAAUCCAAGCAGCUGGCCGCACCUGUGAGGAAUUUUUUUCUUUAAUCAUUUGAAGUAGGAAGACCCACUUUUAAUCUGGGUCACACUAUCUGGUGGCAGCAUAUAAAAAGGAUACUUGCUCAUUGCCUGCUUGCUCUCACUCUCGCUGGCAAGUCCAUUUCUUACCUGGCAUUAGAGCGUACAUCUUUGGGAUUCUGGUGUGUACUGAAGAGCAGCUGAGACAUCCAGCCUCGUGGACUGAACAACUGAUAGAUUCUUGGACCUCCCGUUGGUAGACAGCCGUUGUUAGACUAGCUGGACCGUAUUCAUUCUGUAUUCAUUGUAUUUCUCUAGAGAACUCUAAUACAGUCACUCCAUUCUUGUUUAGUCUGGUCUGUUACGGCCUGUGCGGCCAGAGCAGUGGGCCCCCAAUAAUUCUUAACACCCUGCAAUGGUUAAUACUGGUUGUCAACAGGGUCUAGAAUCCUCUAGGAGUCAAACCUUUGGAUGUACCUGUGAGGGAAUUAUUAGACUGGGUUAAGGUGGAAACACCAACCCUACAUGUGAGGCCCUGGAGUAGGUCCCAGGCUGAGUAAAAAGGAGAAAGCAAGCUGGGCACCAGCAUUCCUCUCCUUUGCUUCCUGACUAAAGACACUGUGUCGCCAGCUGCCUCGUGCUCCUGCCACCAUAUCAUCCGAGAGCACUGUACCCUGAAACUGUGAAGGCAGCACAAAUCUUCCUUCCUGUGUUACUGUCAAGAAUUGGUCUCAGCAUUAAGAAAAGUAACCAGUUUGGACUUGAAUUUGGCAACUUGGUAACAGAUUUGUCAACCGAAUCCUGGGAAUUCAGACUCACCAAACCUUUAAGUGCUUUAUUUCCUGGUACAGUACACUUACUGGUAAAGACAGAGGACAACAGUUAUCAGCACAAUUGCAGCAAUCAGCAAAGUGCUAGCGAUGCCGAUCAUAACCUUCGUCCUCAAGUCGAACAUCUUUCACACCUGGCAAAGAAGUUCAGAUGGCACAAGUGGCUUCACUCCCAAAGAGCCGCUUGGCCAUUCCCCUCCCCCAGCUUUCUUCAGGGAAAAAGAAAGGAUCCAACAUAUAGACUUAUGGAACUCUGCAGGGUGGCCCAAGCUGACCUCAGGUAUGUAUAAGCUUUUUGACCUCCGAACAACAAUCAUGAUCAUCAUUGGUGGUGGGAUCCUGGCAGCCAUGUUUCUACUGAUAGUAGUUGUGCUUUGUCUUUACUCCAAAAUAUCCAAGGCUCUGAAUUC
Long non-coding RNA from Grammomys surdaster, 2418 nucleotides. RefSeq lists it as uncharacterized. The transcript has 3 exons. NCBI's taxonomy places the organism in Eukaryota, Metazoa, Chordata, Mammalia, Rodentia, Muridae. The record is from RefSeq and is a predicted model, not a curated record.